This 3445-nucleotide long non-coding RNA is filed under the name Mus musculus (house mouse). RNAcentral's name for it is "long non-coding RNA chr2:92058718-92062163". The record is from RNAcentral. Lineage: Eukaryota; Metazoa; Chordata; Mammalia; Rodentia; Muridae.
CUUCUCGGGAUCGCCGAGCCUAGUCUGGGUCUGGAUUCCAGGAGAGGCGUCCCCAUCCUACGCUUGAAGGCAGAGCAAGGACGCUGCUCCAAAACACCCGGUUCAUCAGCUGAGCGGAAGCUGCAGGAAUCUACCCAAAUCCACCAGCGGCUGCUUUUGCCUCCCAGAAGCCGGGGCUAUCCGAGGUGGUUUGGAAAUGGCAUCGCCUAUGGCCAAGAUCGAGGGUUCUGCGGACAGAGAGGAGCCCUGGGUUCGCUUUCUGCCUCAUCCAGCUAGGUGACCUUGGGCAAGGUACUUAAAUUUCCAUGUGCCUUGUUUUCCUCAUCUUUAAGAUGGAGAGAAUGCUCCCGACCUUGACGGAUUGGCUCGAGGAUUACACUAGAACAGGCAGCCUAGGUUGGGAUUCUGGCAUUGACAUCAGCUAGUUGUGUGCCCUGGGGCAGGUUACUUAACCUCUCUGCCCUAGUUUCCUGAAAAAUAGGGAGCAUAACGGUACUUACCUCCGAGGGUUGUUGCCUGCAAAGCGCUUAACACUGCGAUGGAAGAGUAAGCGCUUAAUAAACUGUGGCUAUUAUGACUGUUGUCAUUAUUGUCCUUAAGAGCACUGAGCACAGGAGCAGAGGUCUAUCGGGCUGGUUAUUAUUAUUAUGUUUCUCGAGUAUGGUUAUUUCUUUCCCGGAAUUGUUAAAAUUAUUAUUAUUAUUAUUCACAAACUCGAGUCCUUAUCAGUAGCUGAAGGACAAACAGUCUUCCCGAAUUAGAAUCCCGGGAGGAGGGCCAAGGACGCGGCGGCGGGCUGCAAGGACCGGGACCUGCGGGGAGGAAACCCGCGCCCGGGUUAGCGCGCGUCAGAGCCUCGGUGACGUCUCUAGGCCCUCGGGCUAGGGAGGCGCGGCCUGCGCACGCCAGGCGUCUGCAGUGGCCCGGGACGGCCGGGUGGUACUCCAGCUACGUGGAUGCCCGGCUGGGAAAAGCCUCCCUGGGUCAGACCCUGCGCCUGCCGCUGCGGGGUGCACCCGAGGCUCCGACCGCAGCCUGGCCGGGAGGACGGAGGUGCCAACCCCUGCUCCGGUGUCCGGGCUCCGCCCAGCCUGGCGCACCGCUACCCGCGCGGAGGCUGCUCUGCAUCAACAUAAUGCUCCCCAUCCCUGCAUCCUCCCGGAACCCAUUCCUCAUCAUCCCUCAGGGCCUCAGCUCAGAUUCUCCUCCCUUGGUGCUCGCUCUGACAGACUCCUCCUCUGUCUCUGGCGCCUCCCACUCGCCCGCAGCGCCCGGAGCACGCCCCGCAAGUCCACUUGGUUUGCUACGCACGCAUCUCCAACUCGCUGCAUCUUGUCCCCGUUACUCUCCGUCGCAGUGAAGGUGACACCACCCACCCGAUCACUCGCGAUGCGUCCUGGAUGCUUCUACCUGCAGUGGUUACUACAGUCUACGCUACUCCCUCUGUGACCUUGUGAAUUACCCUCACUCCGUUGGGUAUUAACAUCUUCCUCUCCAAGGUCUCCCGAGUACAUCCUCCUGUAUUUCGAGCCCCGUACACCCCUAUUGCCCAAGCCUCGCAGCUUCUGUGGAGAAGCCUGGCGCUCCAGGCCCUCCCCAUCUUCCUGAGCAAGCAGGUCUGCCAUUUUCUAACACCUCAUAAACUAAUCCCAGUUUAGACCCUGCCUGAGUAGCACUAUUUAAGUUGUUCAGUGUUUACUCCCUCUCCGAUUACCUUUCCUUAUUCUGCUGAACUCCAGAGGGAGUCUCUUCUUCAAGGGUGUCCCAUCCCCCGUUCUACUAUCUGGCGGUGUGAAAUGUUUCUGGACUACAGGACCUUUCUAGGUGGCCAAAGGUCUGUGCCCCGCCCCCUUCUGCUCCCUUCUUCCCAUAGCUGGGUUCCUUCUACCUAGAACACCUUUUUUCUUUCCCUCAUCCCUCCUCCACCCUAAGGACCCCCAGCCUUCCCGAUGUACCCAACCCAACCCAACCUCGACUCAAUCAAAUAUUCCUUUGAAAGGUUAAAGGCCAAUUUAAGAAAUCUGAACCUUACAAAAACUGCAUUUAAAAAAAUUGCAUUUAAAAAUCUGAAGCUUACAAAAACUGCUUGUCUGUAUCACAUGCUCUCUUUCCUUACUUAAGGUUUCCUCUACUCAAUCCAGAGUUUCUUAAAAGGGCACGGAUCCUUUGGAUCUGGGUGGAAUUCUUUGAACCAAUUUCUAUCCCUUCCCAGAGGAAUCACGUUGGGAAGCACGUUGGGGCUUCUUCAUUCCCAGCACACGCUUUUAUGUUUUUACUCCAUAUCUUGGUGCCUAUAGACACUUAAUGGAAUCAUCUAAAAUUACUUUAAACGUUGAAGAGACGCUAUUAGACUGAAUAUAUAAUCGUGUAACUUGAUUUUUUUUAAAAACUAGGCAGCAUGAACCCACAUUAAUGUACGUAUUUCUUGAUCAUACUUUUUCAGUGCUGACGGGGGACCCGUUAUGAAUUCAGCACAUUUUAUUUUUCCCGUCUUCUAGAAGAUAUUUAGCUCAUUUUCACUUUGUUUUUCUGUUAGAAACAAUGCUAUAAUAGCUUUUUUAAAAAUCUCAUUCCCGAGUUUGAAAGCAGAGUUUGGGUAGAUACUUGGGUGCAGAAUUGCGGGACUCAGGACGCAGAACCUGGCAGCGUUGUUGGGCAUGGCUGAAUGGGUUUUAAGUGGUUGUACUAAUUCACAGUUCCAUUCGUUAUGUGAGAGUUCCCCGUGUUCUACAUCCCCAGCACUUGCUAAUGUCAAACUUUAAAAUUGUUGCCAAACCCAUGAGUGUGAAAUGGCAUUUCAAUGUUUUAAUUUGCAGUUCCCUGCUUACAAGUGAGAGAGAUAGGAACAUACUCUCUUUGUUUAUUGGCCAUUUGCCUCUCCUCCUUUUUAAAUUGGCCAUUGGUUUAUUUGACAGUGCAUCUUUUGGUCAUGUCCUAUGUGUGGGAGUUCUUUAUAUAUUCUGGAUACUAAUCCUUUGUCAGUCUGUGGCCCAUCUGGUGUCUUUUAUUCCACUCAAUUGCAAUUCUAAAUUGAUACGAUUAUUUGGUGAAUGUCUGAUUUUCCUCUUAAGCAAUAAGUCCAUGAGAAGACGACUGUCCCUUGUAAUAAGUGCAAUAUUUAAUACGUACCAGGAAGUUAAUAAAUACUACUGACUGAAAUGUGUUGAUAAUUGACAUUAUUAUUUUUAAUUAUUGAGUUUUCUCUCCUUCAAGCUUUUUUUUCUCAACUUCUCGAGAGUAGGAAUCUGGUGAUAUUUUAUUUCUUCACGUCUCCAGUGCGGAUUGCACCACAAUGCUUUGAUCAUAGAGCAUGUGCCCAAUGAUUGUUAAGUUCCUUUGUGGGUUUUCUUUUUAUUCCCCCCUCUCAUUCUUUUCAGGUCACCCUCUAUCUCUGAGCUCAAUUUAGCUCUGCAAAUGGAAUAGAUAAUAAAGAAUCUGCUGCUGC